This 163-nucleotide unclassified non-coding RNA is filed under the name uncultured Chaetothyriales. RNAcentral describes it as "sequence contains ITS2". Lineage: Eukaryota; Fungi; Ascomycota; Eurotiomycetes; Chaetothyriales. The record is from RNAcentral.
UCACCAUAUCAAGCUUGGCUUGUUGUUGGGCCCUUCUGUCACCUGGUGACAGGUCCAAAAGACAAUAACCGGUGUCAUACAGACUCUAUAUGCAACGAGCUUAUAACAGCACGCAUCUGGUAGUCGUGUGGCCCGGUAUCACCUUAAUAAAUAUAUUUCUCAA